CGGAAAGGGUUAACCACAAACCGUGGGAGUCCUGUUGAAGUACGCCAACUAGGAUCCCACGGGUGUCAGCGCUCUGGGGCAUGCCGGAGGCCCUUACCUCCCUAGGUUUCGGACAAGGCAACGCCCCCCGGAGUCUUCUACCGGACUACCCUUUACAUGGGGGAAGGUGAUGGCGCUUCCUUCCCCCCCAUUCAUUUACAUAACAAUAAACCCCUGCCAAUGCCUAACCGCCAAAUACCGCAAAGUUGUGACGAUUGCUACGAGGUAGGCGAAAAAACCAAAAAGCCGACAGUGCGCCAAAUUGGAAAAAUUCCUACCAGGCCCCUUACGGCGACCAACCGGAGUCCAUAGCAAGGUCAAAGCUAGCUAAGCCUAAAGGGUGGGUGGGAUGGGAAAAUCUCCGCUCAGCUGGCGAGGGGAAAGAGGGCAGUCCACGGGCGUGCCUGGCCUUAAGUAGCCAAGGCCACGCCUCCCCGGGCCGCCGAUUGGCGGAUCGGGUCGCAGGCACGCCCGGGGAUUCCCUGGGUCUCGCGGGGGCAAAAGGUCCGCCCCCCGCGUGUGGGAGGGGGUCGCCCGCAACCCCCUCUCCUCUGAAGUCGGAAAUGGCUUUGCGUGGCAAGACCCCUCCCCCAAGUGAAAAGAAAACACUGGACACAUUAUAUAAGGUUAAGUGGGCAUAAAAAGGCCACAACUUUAUUGAUUACAGAAUUGAAGGUAUUGGCCUUAGGCAUUGGCUCCUAUUGACUACCCGGUAAGCAGACCGGGAAGGGUUAACCACAAACCGUGGGAGUCCUGUUGAAGUACGCCAACUAGGAUCCCACGGGUGUCACCGCUCUGGGGCGUGCCGGAGGCCCUUACCUCCCUAGGUUUCGGACAAGGCAACGCCCCCCGGAGUCCUCUACCGGACUACCCUUUACAUGGGGGAAGGUGAUGGCGCUUCCUUCCCCCCCAUUCAUUUACAUAACAAUAAACCCC
This is a non-coding RNA of Podarcis lilfordi (Lilford's wall lizard), 975 nucleotides long. The record is from the annotation of a GenBank genome assembly. Lineage: Eukaryota; Metazoa; Chordata; Lepidosauria; Squamata; Lacertidae.